This 408-nucleotide ribosomal RNA is filed under the name Plakobranchus ocellatus. RNAcentral describes it as "partial 16S ribosomal RNA". It matches the Rfam family "Bacterial large subunit ribosomal RNA", at positions 1832 to 2562 of the family's 2925-position model. Lineage: Eukaryota; Metazoa; Mollusca; Gastropoda; Plakobranchidae. The record is from RNAcentral.
AGCUUUAAGUUUUAUUUAAAGUGAGACCUGCCCAGUGCUAAUUAGUAAACGGCCGCAGUACCUUGACUGUGCUAAGGUAGCAUAAUCAGUUGGCUUUUAAAUGGAGUCGGGAAUGAAUGGAUUAAUAGGGUUGAGCUGUCUCUACUAUAUUAAAUUGAACUUACUUAUUAGGUGAAAAUGCCUAAGUUGUAAAAGAAAAAAGACGAGAAGACCCUAGGAGUUUUAACUAGAUGCUAUUUAUUAUAGUUAAUGUUUUUGUUGGGGCGACAUUGGAACAAUUUUAAACUUCCUUUAUGUUUAUAGGCCGACUUUGUAUGUAAAUCUAAACUACCCUAGGGAUAACAGCGUAAUUCUUUUUGAGCUUGCGACCUCGAUGUUGGACUAGGAAUUUGGUGGGCUAGCCGCCUA